RNAcentral lists this ribosomal RNA (272 nucleotides) under uncultured Lachnospiraceae bacterium. RNAcentral describes it as "partial 16S ribosomal RNA". It matches the Rfam family "Bacterial small subunit ribosomal RNA", at positions 58 to 339 of the family's 1533-position model. The record is from RNAcentral. Lineage: Bacteria; Bacillati; Bacillota; Clostridia; Lachnospirales; Lachnospiraceae.
ACUUCGGUCAAGUUGAACGGAUGACUUAGUGGCGGACGGGUGAGUAACGCGUGAGGAACCUGCCUUUCAGUGGGGGACAACAGUUGGAAACGGCUGGUAAUACCGCAUAAGCGCACAAUGUUGCAUGACAUGGUGUGAAAAACUCCGGUGGUAUAAGAUGGACCCGCGUCUGAUUAGCUAGUUGGUGAGAUAACAGCCCACCAAGGCGACGAUCAGUAGCCGACCUGAGAGGGUGACCGGCCACAUUGGGACUGAGACACGGCCCAGACUCC